GUGGUGGUGGCUUAAUAUUAGAGCACUUGCCUGGCAUGUAUGAGACCCUGGGUUCAAUUCUCAGCACUGCA
RNAcentral lists this transfer RNA (71 nucleotides) under Ictidomys tridecemlineatus (thirteen-lined ground squirrel). Its description in RNAcentral is "Spermophilus tridecemlineatus (thirteen-lined ground squirrel) tRNA". It matches the Rfam family "tRNA". From Rfam's summary of the family: Transfer RNA (tRNA) molecules are approximately 80 nucleotides in length. Their secondary structure includes four short double-helical elements and three loops (D, anti-codon, and T loops). The record is from Rfam by way of RNAcentral. Lineage: Eukaryota; Metazoa; Chordata; Mammalia; Rodentia; Sciuridae.